Molecule: long non-coding RNA, 12163 nt
Organism: Dicentrarchus labrax (European seabass)
Lineage: Eukaryota; Metazoa; Chordata; Actinopteri; Moronidae
Exons: 8
Source: RefSeq, a predicted model, not a curated record
AGGAAGUAGACGGAGACGGAACUCUAGUGGGAGUAUCUUCGAUAGAGAACAAACAGUUUUUAACGUUAACUGUUUUUAACGGUGUAAAUGUCCAGCUGGAGUCUGAAGAGACUUUAUUAGACAAUGUUUUAUAUCUUUAGUGUCUGCCGGAAGUUAAUGUUACCGUUAAUGCUAUCUACGGAGCUAACGGGGGAAAUGUUUGUGGACCACGCGACGAUGUUUGCAGCAGCCAGAAUCUUGAUGAGGAUUUUAAAGGACGAUGACCGUCUGCUGUUAACAUAGAUAGACUUUAUUAAUCCCUGAAGAGAUAUUGGGUCGUCAUAGCAGCCAGGACUGCGGAUCUAGGGACCACGGGUGGGAGUCGAACCGAGUAGCACUCUCAGUGGUAACGAACAAACCCACCGCACCGCAAUGUCCCCUUCACGCUGGGAGAUCUUCUCUCAGCGCUUUUGAGUCUUCACUUUGGAUGUUGGAGGUUCAUAAGGAUCGAUCCCACAACCUUGGACCUUCUGCAUCAUCUUUCAUCCCCCUGAGAUAUUGGAGGAGCUGGUUGAAGACUGGUUCUGAGACCUGUUCAGUCUUUCUGGUGGACACGUGUUUUAAAAUCAACCUGAGUCUCAUAAGGUUUGAACCUGCAACCUUACAAUCUAGAAGCAUUCAUUGAUCCUCCUGAGCUAUUGGUCAGGUAGUGGUCAACUUCGCCUUAGACCUGUCUGUGUGUGUGUGUGUGUGUGUGUGUGUGUGUGUGUGUGUGUGUGUGUUUGUGUGUGUGUGUGUGUGUGCGUGUGCGUGCGUACGUGCGUGCAUGUGUGUGUCUGUUUUAAGAUGAGGGAUAAGGCUGCUCAUUGUAGUUCUCAUUAUGUAAAUAUUUAUUAUUUGCAAGCAAAAAAAUGCACAACUUCAACUUCUUCAUCCGCCUUCAGAUAGAUAACAUCUAGGGCUGGGUAAAAAAAUCAAUGUAAUCGUUUUUGGAUCGAUUUCAUUUAAAUUUUGCAAUAUCGAUUCAUAGGGUGUGAGAUCGAUUGUUCCCCAUGAAGGUUUUUUUUUUCCCCAUGAAGUCUCGUUCGUGAUGACGCAGCAGCGCGUUUGCGUCAGGUUGACGUUCAAGUGAACAAGCGUGCAUACACAAAAUGACUGACGCAGGUAAAACCCCGCUCAGCAAGCCGUCCCAACUAAAGUCUGGAACCAUUUCGGAUUUAAAACAACAAAGGACAAAGAGCUGGAUAAAACCAAAGUGGUUUGCAAGAUCUGCCAAGCGGAGCUCAGUUAUUGUAAAAAUACUACAAACCUCAGAAAACACUUUACAAGGUAUCACACUACGCUAACGUUAGCUUCCGACAACAAGCCGUCCGGGGCAAAACAAAAGAAACUGAGGGAAUCACUAACAUUAGCAGCCGAUUCUCCGCGGGCCACAAAGAUAACAGAGGCCAUCGCAACUUUUGUUUGCAAAGAUUUACGCCCGUAGUGGAAAACGAAGGCUUCAAGCGGCUCAUUCAGGUGCUCGAACCACACUACGUUAUUGUGCAACACUUAAUGCAAUUUGCAGUGAUGGAACGUUGUAGAAAGUACACUUUCACUCGCAAUUCCUUUCUAAUUUCAAAAUUGCACUUUUGAGAUGUGAGUUUUGUUUACAGCUCAAGUUUAAACUGUCCAAUUUACAAGUUUGCACUUAAAACCUGUUGUUUAAGGUGAAGAGAAAAAAUAAAGUACAUUUGUAUUGUGUAACACAGUUGAGCCAUUUUCAUUAUUUAAGAGCAGAUUGAAUCGAAUCGAAUCGUGAUUAAUCGAUUCAGAACCUUAUGAAUCGAAAUCGAAUCGAUUUAGGAAAUUGGCCACGAUACCCAGCCCUAAUAACAUCACUGCUGACGUUGUGUACCUCUGACUGAUGCACAGGGUUUUAUUUUGAAAAAUGAAUGAAUGAAACCAUAAAAUAUGAGCAUAAGUUAACUCUUUAAUUAGUGCAGGAAAAAUAACAGCAGGCAAACACUAAAGAUCUAAAACAGAAUCUAAUCAGUCUUUUAAGGGACACUUUGUUUCCUUUCCUGGUGUGCAACAGGGAACACGUCACACAGUAAGGAAAGCUUUUCACUGCUGAACCUCUCUGUGAGUCUAAUAGACACACAGGUCGGGGAACUUUAUCCCGUAGAGAGGCGUUGAGCGAGGCGGCGAGUGUCCGGACGGAGACGGGGGAGGACGUAUGAUCAGAUCAAAGACCUGAUCCAGUUUAGACUGAAGCAAAGAGGUCUGGAAAGAGAGAAACUUUUAUUCACACGCUUAUCCAAACAUAGUGUGUCAAAGUAUCAUCGUCAGAGGUCAGAGGUCACUCACCCUGGCUCCACAGUGAGCCGCUAUUUCCUCAAACGGAGCCGUCUGAAACCUCUCCACCACCUGCAUCCUCCUCCUCCGCUCCUCCUCCUCCACACCCCCUCUGUCUUCUGCACAACACCAUUUCAGAAUAAAACAAAAGAGGACAGACCGUAACAAUCAAUCAAUCAAUCAAUAAAGACACUGUAGGAAAACAUAUUGUUUGUUUGUCAAUGUUUUGUUUAUUUUAUUCUCUGUCUAAAGGGGAAACAAUAAUAAUGUGUUGCUAUUGAUGAUUGUGGAAUCGAUCACUUACCGAUGGCGUUCUUCAGCGUCUCAAAAGUGAUCUGCUCCGUCUGAGGUUGCUACAGAACAGAGGGAUAUCAGAGAGACAGACAGACACACACACACACACACAGACAGACAGACAGACAGACAGACAUGUACCUGCUGUGUAUCAGGGCAGUACUGAGGGUCCAUGUCGAUCUGCAGAGAGAUGACAUCUCCAAUACUCUUCCUCUUAGACAGACGAUCUUCAUCUAAACACACAGUGACACAGUGUGAACUUGUAGUACUGCCAGUAAUAUGAGUACACAGUGUGUGGCGCCCCCUACAGGGUGUCUACAGACACUGAGAUGCUUCUGAGGAACAAAUCUAAAGAAAAGACGAGUGAGUAUAAGGUGUGUGUGUGUGUGUGUGUACCUGUUAGCUGAGGUGUGUAUGGCGUGUUGAAGCGUUCGGUGUGUGCGCUGUAGCUGCUUCCUGUCAGAGCCUCGCAGAUUUUCGAUUGGACGAACAGAAAAGUUUCAUCCACCAUCAGCUCACCCUGUGGUAGUCUGACACACACACACACACACACACACACACACACACAGAUUAUAAAUACAAUCAAUAAUCAGAUCAAAUUGAAAAAUCAAUAAUAUAUGAUAUAUUAUUUUUGAUUAAAGUCAUGAACACAAUUAAUCAAUAAUUAUAAUACAGUAAUAUAUGAUUCUGCCUAAUUGGGACUUUUACUUUUGGUACUUAAGUAUAUUUUGUAACUGAAGUAAGCUUUUGAAUAGUAAUAUGAGUAAAAGAUCUGAGUACUUCUUCCACCACUGUCCAGAUGUUACUUUAUCCUCCCUCCUGUAGCUGACUUUAACUUCAUCGUGUCCUCAGUAAUACAUACACAUUUGACUAAUAAGUGAUUAAUAUUGGUUAAUAGUCAAAUGUAAUAGAACAGUGGUUUGAAAUGGGGGUGUCUCUCUUUCUGUCUGUCUCUCUGUCUGUCUGUCUCUCUUUCUGUGUGUCUCUACCUGGGUUCAUCACAGAACACGUCUUUGGGCAGCAGGUGUGGAGCAUUCCCCUGCCGAUGCUCUAUGACCUGCAGACACAAAAUGAAUUAUGUAUAUCUGAUGUACACACACACACACACACACACACACACACACGCCUUCAUUACACACACACACACACACACACACACACUUUGUUUUCACCUGUGUGAUGUGUAGGUGGAAAGGUGGAGGCGGACCGAGCUGGGACAACAGGUUGAGGAAGGCGGCGCAGACAGCGUGAACGCCACAACGGUUAAACACUGACAAACACUCGUGAGGGGACAAUGCCAGCUCCUGAGCGGCCAAUCAGAAGAGAGAAAGGAUCAACAUUAUUAUCCUAAUUAUCAUUAAUAUUUGUUUAUAGCUUGUUAUAGCAGCUCUGCCUACCUGCAGGGCGAGCACCAGUCGGAUCAGGUCCACCACCACCUCCUCAUUGGCCAGUUCCACACUGAGGACAGCCAGCAGGGUGACGAGGGCCUGGUAGUGGCCCCGCCCACUGCUUUCCUCCUUACAGUUGAAACCUAUGACUGACCACAGACUGCAGUGGUGCAUCCCCCAGUCUACCUACAGGGACCAGUACUCCCUGAGCAUUGGUUCUGGAGUUGUGACCUGGCAGCGGUGAGUCUGGCGGCGUUGUGGCGUCUGUCGAUGAGCGAGGUGAGGAUGGAGAGGACCAGCAGACGGAUCUCCGGAUCCUCCAUCAGAGUGAAGGACAGCAGAGGCUCCAAGAAGGACGAGGGCAACGCCGUCAGAAGAUUACAGCUUUCAUAACGCUCCGAGACCUGAGGCAGGGAGGAAGAUGACAGAAGACUUUACACUCUUUCAUACACAUAUUCACUUCUUUACACAUACAGGGUUGCAUGGGACUGAAGUAUCACGACAACGUAAGACCACUGAUAGCGUUCAGUAGGAAAGUUGGGACAAAGAUAGUUCUGUAGUUGGUUCAGUGGGUAGUUUGGUAGAUAAGGAGGGGGGCUGGGUGAAUUCACCUGGAGGAGAGACUUCAACAGCAUCACCUGGAUCAUCCUGCUGCCUUCCAACCUGAGACAGACACACUGUGAGCACCUUAAAGCACAGUCAUUAUUACAGACUCAUUAUGUUUAAAGUAGGUUGUGAAAAUGGUACCCGGAGUUGGGCGACCCCAGGGCGGGGUAGAUACCAGGGACUGGGAUCUUCCCCAUGAUGAACAGCAUGACCUCUGACCUCUGGUAGAUGGGAAGUGUGUUGGCGAAGGAUCCUGGACAGACGACACAGAUUCAAAUGAAGCAGCACAUUGGAAACUGUUCAGUGACAGCAGGAAAAUAAAAACAGCCCCACCGAUAGUCUUGAUGACGCCGUCCUGCAGCGUUUUCUCUUCAGCCGACGUGGUUUCGCGUUUUCCGGUGUUGUCAUAGUAACCAGUCAGCUGGUAGUCGACGCUCUGUCUGAGCUGGCGCAGUAACGUGUUGAACACCUCCAGCACUGUGGGGCCUACGGUGCACACAGAGGAGGAUUAAAUAGCUCACAUGCACUAAUGGUAGGAUUCUAUUUAACGUACAGAGACGGCGCACACUGACCCACAGAUCCAGUAGCUUCUAUAACAGCAGCUUCAGACAGGACCUCUACGAUCCCGGCUCGGACUGAAGCUGGACUCUUGCUGUUAGCGUCCAGGUGACCCAACAGCUGCUGGAUGACCAGGUGUGAAUGCUGGGACUGAAGAGGAUAUACUGAAUAUACUGAGUUCAGGUAUCAGCUCAGAUAAGAGAAAUAAAGUUACAUACAUUUAAUCUUACAGUACAAUUCAGUUUAGUAAAGUUAUGUGCAGUCAAGUACAGUAAGUACUCCAAGUGUACUUACUGACCUGGAUGGAGUACAUGAUGAUCUGAAAACACUGAACAGCAAAGCUUCGUCCUUCCCAAAGACUGUGACUGUCCAGGUGCCUGAAAACACACACACAGGUUGACCAGCAGGGCGGGGACAAUCUGCUCCAUAUGACGCGGCUCCCAAAUGUUCACCUGCAGCUCGUCAUCCACCGUCUUCCUGACCACGCCCUGCAGACCACGGAUCCCCGACACACGGAUCCUGAACACGCAGACACACACACACACACACACACACACACACACACACACACACACAGCAUCAUGGAUAUUACACUGUAACCUGCUAUCAUGCAAAAUAACAUGAAUGAAUCAAACAAUACACAUAUUGUGACAGAAAAUGCACUCAUUUUACUUCAGAUACUUUUAAAUUCUAAUAAUUAUUAUCUAUUAAUUAUUGUUUUUAAAUUAAUCUCAAGCUCUUUCUUUCCCCUUAAAAUUCCCACAAUUUCAGAAACACCAAAUAAAUUAAUAAAUAUUCUUGUUUGUUUUUGGUUUAUUCUAGAUCUCGUGUGCAUAUAUAUCGUUUUUAACUUUUUCUGUUAUUUACUUUAUUACAGACAGACAGACAGACAGACUUGUUUUGGAUGUCGAGGUCUUCGUGUUCAGAGUGACACAUCUCACUGAAGCGAGACACGAAGAAGUCGUAGCUGCGAUGGUAUGACGGCGUGUCCUCCUCGAUGUUGGCAAACUUCACAAACUGCACCAGAGAGAACAUACGUUGUGUUGUACGUACAGAGCUGGUGGCGAGGAUGUGGAGGUGAGGUUUGUCGGCCUCCAGCAGCAGACGCAGCGUACUGAGGAAACUCUCCACCAGCAGGUUGAUGCUCUGACAGUGACAGGCCAGAAGCAGCUGCUCCAUCGCCUCCAUCGCUAUACACACAUACCUGGUCUUCUGGGAAAAUAUUAUCAACCAGCCGCUUGUAGCGAGGACGUAACGCCCAGCAGCAGCCGCACAGACCUGCAGACACACAGACAGAGUUCACGUUCACACCUGACAGACAGUUACAGUUAGCGGAGCUUACAGAGACCCCGCUGUGACUGAAAGGACGCAGGUUCAAUCCCUCCGAAUCUGUCCCAUACAAACAGAACGGGCUGUAAAACAUGACUUUAAUUUAAAUGUAAUACAUCGGUGGCUGUUCUCACGACUGCCGGAGCUAAAAGCAGAACUCAGCUGCUGUAUUUAUUUUAUCGGAUUUCUUCAGUCUUAUUAUUUUCAUUUAGAAAGUCAAAGUGUUUAGUUUUGUCAUUAUUUAUAUAUAUAUAUAUAUUUAUAUAAAUAUAAUAUAAUAUAGUUAACUUAUAUUUAAUAAAUAUAUUUUAAUAUAUGUAUAUAUUCAUUUUUGUUUGUGCUUAAAUGCUUAAAAUAAGUAUAAUUAAGUCAAGACUUUUAUAUUUGACAUAAUUUUAACUUGAUUCUCAUAAAUAAAAUUUUGACCAAUUUCUGACAGUAAAUCAAAUAUUUUCAUUCACAAGUCAUUUAAAAAAAUACUCAAACAUGUGUUAUGAUAGUUAGUUAUUAUCAUUUAUACUUCACAUUAUUUUUGUGUCUUUGUUGGAUUUUAACUAAAUAAACUCAAACUGGAAAAUGAACUACUUUUUCUAGCUCGAUUUAACGGAAACAAACAUAACCGGCUUGUUUAGUUCAAUUAAGUUUUACUUUGAUCUGGGUUUAAGACACUGGGAGAUAGUCCUGUCUUUAAGUCAUAUAGAUGGUAUUAUCAUUAGUUUGCCGACUCUACGCAGGCACCUUAGGACUUUGCGGUUGUUCAGAAGGAAAGCCCAUUCAGAUCUGCUAGACAUAGAAAUAUAUACAGAGCAAAAUUGACCCGGUACGGUAGAUAGUUGAAGAUGGGGCAUGUAUGUGCGGGCAGCAGUCACCAUAGGUCCAUGGGAGUCACUUGCAUGUUGGAGGUUCUCGCGGGAGUUCGAAGUAUCUCAAUAAUUCAGGAAAGAAAUUACUCCGAAAAACAGGAAAGAUUAUUCAAAAAAACAAACCAAAAAAUAAAUGACUCAGAAAAGCCGGAGGUUUUACUGUUCUAUAACUUUUAACAUUCACAUUAAAAUAAUAACAAUCCAAUAAUAACAGCACUCUGCUGUAAAUGUAAGUCUGAUUAUUUAUAUUAUAGCAGAGUUAAUCUGUAUUUAUAGCUCAUUGUUUUACAGUGUAAAUAUCUUUAAACAUUAAAAGACAAAAAUAUUACAAUCGUACGUAAAAUUAAAGCUAAAAACUUUUAAUUAUAGGAUAUUACUGAUUUUCUUUGUCCCUCCAGCUGCCAGAAUAUUACCGUUUUUAUUAUUUUCAGUUUAAAAACGUAUUAAAAUGAAUUAUUCAUCAUAAAAUAACAUUAAUAUUUAUAUUUCUACACCUGCAUCGACAAACAACAACUGCAUCGACAAACAACAACAGCAGCGCCACAACAUUCAGAUAAAUAAACACCGAAUAAAUAUUAAUAUUUCUCACCGUACAUGAAGACGACUCCUUCAGCUCACAUCCACACUGUCACUUCCCUCACACACGCACACACACGCACACACACGCACACACACACACACACACACACACACACGUUUGUGGUUAAUCCUUUACACACACACACACACACACACACACACACACACACACACAUUAAACCCACCUCCUUUCAUUCACCAUCAGAGCCAUAAACCUCGUAUUUCUGCAUUCACUGACUUUUGAAAUUCACAUCUCGGCUGUUUUUCUUUAUAACAGAUGAAUAAAUGACAUUUUGGAGAAGUUUUGAUGUUAAUAUGUGUGUGUGUGUGUCUGUGUCUGUGUGUGUGUGUGUGUGUGUGGGUGUGUGUGUGUGUGUGUGUGAUCUGGGCCAUGUGCAGCAGCUCAGCGCUCUAUAAUCUGCUCUGGAUUUAUUUAUCAUUCCAGCAGAAACAGGAAAAAAAAAAAAACUAUAUCAGAAACCUGCAGAAGUGAAGCUGAAAGAGCUCAGCUGAGUAAAUGUGCCCGUGUUCAUCACGUGUGUGUGUGUGUGUGUGUGUGUGUGUGUGUGUGUGUGUGUGUGUGUGUGUGUGUGUGUGUGUUUGUGUUUGUAUGUAUGUAUGUAUGUGUGUGUGUGUGUGUGUGUGUGUGUGUGUGAUAUGAGUUCAUCAAUUAUAGAAAGAAAUGGAACAGUACUAAUAACAGUACUAAUAACAGUACUAAUAACAAUACUAAUAACAGUACUAAUAACAAUACUAAGCACAUUAAUCAGUAAUCAAAGUACUUGUUUGUUAAUAGAAAUGAUGACUUCAUUUAUAGUUUCAUUGAUUUUAUAAGUGAGAAUUACUCUAAAUAUGGCAGUGCACAUUGUGGGUGUACUGACUGAAAUAUGUUUGUAGUAUUAGCUGCAGUAUCUGUAGUAUUAGCUGCUAUUAGCUGCAGUAUCAGUAGUAUCUGUAGUACCUCCGGGUGUCUGAUGGUCCAGCACAGAGCAGCAGUCCUGCAGCAGCCUCCGAGGAGCCUGGGAUACGGUCGACAUGGCGACGGACCCCGGCAGCAUCAUGCCCCUGGGUAGGCUGGGAAUGGUCACGCCUCGGGGCAUGCUGGGUAAAGUAGGUAAAGUGGGCAUGGUGAUGCCUCUGGGUAAAGUUGGGGGGUUGACGCCUCUGGGCAGGGAGCUGAGUAAGGCAGGCAUGGUGGGAAACCUGGGAAGAGUCCCCGGCAUCUCCGCGGCAACCUGGCGGCCCUCUGGCUGAAUUCGUCCUGAAGAAGAGGAGGAUGGAGCACUGGGACGAAGGAGAGACUCUGAGCAGGAGUGAAGGUGGAGAAAAAUGAAAAGCAGGAUUGAAAAAGCUUUUCCCUCCUUCUGUCUCCUCCUGCCUCCCCCCACAUUCCUCUGACUCUUAACCCCUUCAGUUCACAUCGUCCCUCAACAUGUAAAUGAAGUUCACUCAUACAAACACAGAGAUACUCAUCAGUGGGAGGAUUCCUCUGCUCACUACUGACACACCUGCAGAGGUCAGUGGUGGAGAAAUACCAUCUUGCAAAGCUUCAAUGUACAGUGGUACCAAACCAAUCAGUGUCCUGUGAGGAGCUACAGGCAGCUACAGGCAGCUACUGGCAGCUACUGGCAGCUACAGGAAGCUACAGGCAGCUACUGGCAGCUACUGGCAGCUACUGGCAGCUACAGGCAGCUACUGGCAGCUACUGGCAGCUACUGGCAGCUACUGGCAGCUACUGGCAGCUACAGGCAGCUACUGGCAGCUACAGGCAGCUACUGGCAGCGCUUAAUGCUAUGUAUGUGCACACAAACAACAAUGGUGGCUGCUAAAGAGGUUAGCGUAGCUGCUGCAAGCAUCAGUUCCAUCAGAAGUGGAGAGUAAAGAAUGGCACUGAAGGACUUUCUCAAUGGAAAAGACCUUUUCUCUCUUCUCCCGACUGACGUUACAUGGUUUAUUGAUCGGAUUGAUUGAAAAUGUGAAUGUGAAAACAUCGUAGUGUCAAACUGACUGGAGGGAUGUAUAACAGCAUGUAAAGAUACUGCGUUCAGAGCUGUUAGCAGCACUCAGAGUGUACUGAUGGAUUACUGCUGCAUUAAUGUGCACGCAGCAUUUUUAUACUGUGGCUGAUCGAGGUGGAGUUCAUUUCACUAAAGUAUCAUUAUAAUUAUUUAUUUAUAGGUUGAUCAAAUGUGUGUGAGAUCAAAUCUGCAAAUAACAAAUACAAAAUGUUCUCAUGUUAAAGGAUAUUUCCCUGUAAAAUGUGUUUGCAAAGUUUAAUGUACUUCAACAACACACACACACACACACACACACACACACACACACACACACAGAGCUCCUACCUGCUCGACUCCAGCGUUGCUCUCUUACAGUUGUUUCCCUUUGACAGACAGAUAGACAGACAGACAGCUGCUUAUGUAACAUCUGCCGAGCCUCUGCUGGCCGCUCAGCUCAGAUCAAUAAUCAAUAAGUGUGAUCGGUCCAGAGCUCUGCAGGCUGAGCCGUCUCUGACAUCACAGCUCGUGUUGUGGCCGAACUUUGUUCCAGGCUCAUCUUACUGUUUAAUGGGAGAAAUAUUACAGAUCCAAUAUUCACAUGAAUGAGUCCCAGCAGAGAACUGAGGCUUCAUUUUAGACACAUUCUAAUAUUUAUGUUCACAACAAGCGGCACAGAGGAGGAAAACAAGCGCUCCCUCCUCCCAGCAUGCUGCUGUGCUGACGGAGGAGCUCCCCCUGCUGUCUGAUGCUGCUUACUGCUGUCUGCCAGAGAGAGAGAGACCUACCUGUACCUGUCUCACCUGCUGACCUACAUCCAGGAAGGGUUCUCACCAAACCGCCUCCCUGAAAGCGCUCACAAUGUGUUCUGGGAAAUGUAUGAAAUCAGGCUGAGAGAGGAAACUAAUGAUGUAACAGCAGAAGAUGCCAAAGUUUCACAAAAAUGGCGUUUGCAAAUGUUGUCAAAUUUCCAGGCAGAAAAUGUCGGAUUAAAAAGGAGAGUGAAUAUUAAUUGGAUGGUGAGAAACACGACUCCAAAAGGUUCCUCAAAUACAACAGAAGGAAAAAGUAUUUCCAUCAUUGUCCCCUGUGUUUCUACAGUCCAACAACCUCCAUCAAGAUGGAGUCAGGCACUCACUGUGACAAUCAAUAUCUUUCAUUGAAGGUCAGAUGUUAUGACUGCUCCUUAAUUAAAGGAGAUACCUUAUGGCAACAGCAUUCCCAGCAUGAAUAGACUAUGGUGUCUUAGGAUUGCACUUCCUUAAAGUCGGGGUGGUCAAAAUCAAUGUAGCGGUGGCUGAGACAUCCAAAACCCAUCAAGCCUCCAUUUCCCACAAUGCAACUGUCCAUGCUUGUUAAAUGACUACAUCUUAGGAGUUUCCCUUUUAAUUUAUUAAUGUCAGAAACAGGAGGGAGAAAGACCUUGCUGUCAUUGCUGUAAACAGUACUAAUCAGUUAUCUGUGUGUGUGUGUGUGUGUGUGUGUGUGUGUGUGUGUGUGUGUGUGGGUGGGUGUGUCAUACGUUAGAUAUUUUUGUGUAUAUGUGUAUGUUGUUGGUUGUAUUGUUUUGUGGAAACUUCUUCAUGGCGUCCGGCCGAAUAUGAGAGUAAGUCGACAUUGUUUUACACUUGAUUCAGAGUGAAAUGUCCCCUAACCUCCAUGGACAUUUGUCAUUGAACAGUAAUCCAACUUUUAACAUGAAGACACUUAUUUCAACCCGUUGAUUCAUUACUUUUUAUCUAUGAUCAUCAUCCAUCACCGCCCCGGACUGACCCACAGCGAUGUCCUUACCACUUAAUAAUAAAUGUCUAAGCCUCUUGUACAACUGCUCCUACAGCUCUCAGACUGGAGUGUGUUCUAAGACGAGAGAGAGAGUUUGAUGGGAUUAAGAGUUAGGAGUGUAUAUCUGACUGAGGGGGCUGUUGUUACGGUAAAGGAGAUCUCGGCCAGCUGCAUGAGCCAUCAUAAGGGAUGGAGUCAGAUAAUAGUAAUAAAAGAACAGGCACGGCCAAGAGCUAUAUAUAUAUAUAUAUAUAUAUAUCAUGGCAGCACAAGAACAGGCCCUGGGUACAAGAGCCAUAGAGGCAAAGCUCUACAAGAGUAGAUCUGACCCAAGGUGCAGACUAUGCAAAGAUGCCCCUGAGACAGUCCAGCACAUAGUAGCAGGGUGUAAGAUGCUAGCCGGUUCAGCGUACAUGGAGAGACACAACCAAGUGGCUGGAAUAGUGUACAGGAA